RNAcentral lists this ribosomal RNA (161 nucleotides) under Trichuris leporis. Its description in RNAcentral is "partial 5.8S ribosomal RNA". It matches the Rfam family "5.8S ribosomal RNA". From Rfam's summary of the family: 5.8S ribosomal RNA (5.8S rRNA) is a component of the large subunit of the eukaryotic ribosome. It is transcribed by RNA polymerase I as part of the 45S precursor that also contains 18S and 28S rRNA. The record is from RNAcentral. Lineage: Eukaryota; Metazoa; Nematoda; Enoplea; Trichinellida; Trichuridae.
GAAAUUCAUUCCGAACGGCGGAUCACUUGGCUCGUAGGUCGUUGAAGAACGACGUGACACUCGAGAAUUGAUGUGAAUUGCAGACACACGAACUUGAAUACUUUGAACGCACAUUGCAGCGUCGAUCAAACAUGUCGGGCUACGCCUGUCUGAGGGUCGUU